UACGGAGGGGGCAAGCGUUGUUCGGAAUUAUUGGGCGUAAAGGGCGCGUAGGCGGCUUGGCAAGUCAAAGGUGAAAUCCCUCGGCUCAACUGAGGAACUGCCUUUGAAACUGCCUGGCUUGAGGCCGGGAGGGGGUAGCGGAAUUCCCAGUGUAGCGGUGAAAUGCGUAGAUAUUGGGAGGAACACCAGUGGCGAAGGCGGCUACCUGGACCGGUUCUGACGCUGAGGAGCGAAAGCGUGGGGAGCAAACAGG
Molecule: ribosomal RNA, 253 nt
Filed under: uncultured bacterium
Lineage: Bacteria
Description: partial 16S ribosomal RNA
Rfam family: Bacterial small subunit ribosomal RNA
Source: RNAcentral